GACAGAGGGUGCAAACGUUGUUCGGAAUUACUGGGCGUAAAGCGUGCGUAGGUGGUUUGUUAAGUCAGACGUGAAAGCCCCGGGCUCAACCUGGGAAGUGCGCUUGAUACUGGCAAACUUGAGUGUCGGAGAGGUUGGUAGAAUUCUCGGUGUAGAGGUGAAAUUCGUAGAUAUCGAGAGGAAUACCGGCGGCGAAGGCGGCCAACUGGACGAACACUGACGCUGAGACACGAAAGCGUGGGGAGCAAACAGG
RNAcentral lists this ribosomal RNA (253 nucleotides) under uncultured bacterium. RNAcentral's name for it is "partial 16S ribosomal RNA". It matches the Rfam family "Bacterial small subunit ribosomal RNA", at positions 524 to 776 of the family's 1533-position model. The record is from RNAcentral.